UCACACAAGAGACCCAAAUUAACCGUAAACGGCGUAAAGAGUGGUAUCAUGUUAUCUCAACAACUAAGACCAAAGUACAACUGAGCUGUCAUAAGCCUAAGAUGUACCUAAGACUCCCCUUAAAACGAUCUUAGCGCCUUUGAUUAAUUUAAUUCCACGAAAGCUAAGGCACAAACUGGGAUUAGAUACCCCACUAUGCUUAGCCCUAAAUCUUGAUGCUCUCUCCUGCACUAAGCAUCCGCCCGAGAACUACGAGCACAAACGCUUAAAACUCUAAGGACUUGGCGGUGCCCUAAACCCACCUAGAGGAGCCUGUUCUAUAAUCGAUAACCCACGUUACACCCGACCACCCCUUGCCAGAGCAGCCUACAUACCGCCGUCGCCAGCCCACCUCCCCUGAGAGUCCAACAGUGAGCACAAUAGCCCAAACCCGCUAAUAAGACAGGUCGAGGUAUAGCCCACGGGGUGGAAGAAAUGGGCUACAUUUUCUAGGAUAGAAAC
This 501-nucleotide ribosomal RNA is filed under the name Calidris maritima. Its description in RNAcentral is "partial small subunit ribosomal RNA". It matches the Rfam family "Bacterial small subunit ribosomal RNA", at positions 521 to 1246 of the family's 1533-position model. Lineage: Eukaryota; Metazoa; Chordata; Aves; Charadriiformes; Scolopacidae. The record is from RNAcentral.